RNAcentral lists this ribosomal RNA (301 nucleotides) under uncultured bacterium. RNAcentral describes it as "partial 16S ribosomal RNA". It matches the Rfam family "Bacterial small subunit ribosomal RNA", at positions 509 to 809 of the family's 1533-position model. The record is from RNAcentral.
CAGCAGCCACGGUAAUACCGAGGGUGCGAGCGUUAAUCGGAUUUACUGGGCGUAAAGCGUGCGUAGGCGGCUUCUUAAGUCGGAUGUGAAAUCCCUGAGCUUAACUUAGGAAUUGCAUUCGAUACUGGGAAGCUAGAGUAUGGGAGAGGAUGGUAGAAUUCCAGGUGUAGCGGUGAAAUGCGUAGAGAUCUGGAGGAAUACCGAUGGCGAAGGCAGCCAUCUGGCCUAAUACUGACGCUGAGGUACGAAAGCAUGGGGAGCAAACAGGAUUAGAUACCCCAGUAGUCCCUGUCUCUUAUAU